Molecule: long non-coding RNA, 523 nt
Filed under: Vitis vinifera (wine grape)
Lineage: Eukaryota; Viridiplantae; Streptophyta; Magnoliopsida; Vitales; Vitaceae
Description: long non-coding RNA (VVIN_LNC000357)
Source: RNAcentral
UUUGACAAAACCCUUCAUCAUAGUACUAAAAGGGCAAUUGACACAAAUUCCAUCUUUCCAAUUCUUUUGGUUUUGCUGAUGUUUGGCCUUCCAGACCAGCUAAUUGGCCUGGUUUGUUGGUUUGUUCUGCCCUCUCUGCUGUGGUCCAGUUGUGGAUUUCUCAGCAACAACAAGAGAGGGAAGAAGAGCCCUUUCCCAAAAGCAUAUUACCAUUUACCAAAUUCCACCAAAAAAAUAAAAAAUAAAAAAUCUGAGAAGCCCAAAACGAAUAUCAUCAGAAACAGAGAUGGGUAUUUUUUUCACUCACCUGAAUCACCAUCUCUAGCCACCCAUUACUUCCAUCUGUCUGGUGGUCCAUGGAAUCAUGUCUCCAUAAUUGACUUCCAAGACUCACGCACUCUAUAUGCUUUGUAUGGAAUCAUGAAAUUUGAUUCGAGCAUGUAGCUGACUUAAUGUUGAAGUUUGUACUUCCACACCUCUAGUGUGUAAACAACCUUUUUUCAUGUCAUAAGAAAAAACGUUC